Molecule: ribosomal RNA, 253 nt
Filed under: uncultured bacterium
Lineage: Bacteria
Description: partial 16S ribosomal RNA
Rfam family: Bacterial small subunit ribosomal RNA
Source: RNAcentral
UACGUAGGGCGCAAGCGUUGUCCGGAAUUAUUGGGCGUAAAGAGCUCGUAGGCGGCCUGUUGCGUCCGCUGUGAAAACCCGGGGCUUAACCCCGGGCCUGCAGUGGGUACGGGCAGACUAGAGUGCGGUAGGGGAGACUGGAAUUCCUGGUGUAGCGGUGAAAUGCGCAGAUAUCAGGAGGAACACCGGUGGCGAAGGCGGGUCUCUGGGCCGUAACUGACGCUGAGGAGCGAAAGCGUGGGGAGCGAACAGG